AUACGUAGGUCCCGAACGUUGCGCGAAAUUACUGGGCGUAAAGGGUCCGUAGGCGGUCUGGUAAGUGGAAGGUGAAAGCCUGGGGCUCAACUCCAGAAUUGCCUUCCAAACUGCCGGACUUGAGGCAGGGAGAGGUCGGCGGAAUUCCCGGUGUAGCGGUGAAAUGCGUAGGUAUCGGGAGGAACACCAGUGGCGAAGGCGGCCGACUGGAACUGUCCUGACGCUGAGGGACGAAAGCCAGGGGAGCGAACCGGAUUAGAAACCCUAGUAGUCC
Molecule: ribosomal RNA, 274 nt
Filed under: uncultured bacterium
Lineage: Bacteria
Description: partial 16S ribosomal RNA
Rfam family: Bacterial small subunit ribosomal RNA
Source: RNAcentral